RNAcentral lists this ribosomal RNA (330 nucleotides) under uncultured bacterium. RNAcentral's name for it is "bacterial SSU rRNA". It matches the Rfam family "Bacterial small subunit ribosomal RNA", at positions 568 to 898 of the family's 1533-position model. The record is from RNAcentral.
UGCGUAGGCGGCUUUUUAAGUUUGGUGUGAAAUCUCCCGGCUCAACUGGGAGGGUGCGCCGAAUACUGAGAGGCUAGAGUGUGGGAGAGGAAAGUGGAAUUCCUGGUGUAGCGGUGAAAUGCGUAGAUAUCAGGAGGAACACCGGUGGUGUAAACGGCUUUCUGGACCAUAACUGACGCUGAUGCACGAAAGCGUGGGUAGCAAACAGGAUUAGAUACCCUGGUAGUCCACGCCCUAAACGAUGCAUAUUUGGUGUGGGCCAUUCAUUUGGUCUGUGCCGGAGCUAACGCGUUAAAUAUGCCGCCUGGGGAGUACAGUCGCAAGGCUGAA